AACGAAGUCCUGCCAAUCCGGCGGUUUACCAUCACCAUUGGCAAGGGCGAUGGCCAUGAUGGCUGCCAUCUCCAUGACCCAAGAGAGAGGGUUCCACAUGAAACCGAGAAACUUGAGAACCUUGCUCUCCUUCUUCUCCUCGAGCUUGUUGGGACCGAAAAUUUGGAGCCGGUUGGCCCCCUCCUCGGACGAGAGACCUUCCUGAGUACAUUUCAG
RNAcentral lists this unclassified non-coding RNA (216 nucleotides) under Hevea brasiliensis (rubber tree). Lineage: Eukaryota; Viridiplantae; Streptophyta; Magnoliopsida; Malpighiales; Euphorbiaceae. The record is from RNAcentral.